Molecule: ribosomal RNA, 540 nt
Filed under: Schmidingerella taraikaensis
Lineage: Eukaryota; Ciliophora; Spirotrichea; Tintinnida; Rhabdonellidae
Description: partial Bacterial small subunit ribosomal RNA
Rfam family: Bacterial small subunit ribosomal RNA
Source: RNAcentral
GCAAGCGUUAAUCGGAAUUACUGGGCGUAAAGCGCGCGUAGGCGGCUUGUUAAGUCGGAUGUGAAAGCCCCGGGCUCAACCUGGGAACUGCACCCGAUACUGGCAAGCUAGAGUACGAGAGAGGGGGGUAGAAUUCCAUGUGUAGCGGUGAAAUGCGUAGAUAUAUGGAGGAAUACCAGUGGCGAAGGCGGCCCCCUGGCUCGAUACUGACGCUGAGGUGCGAAAGCGUGGGUAGCAAACAGGAUUAGAUACCCUGGUAGUCCUAGCCGUAAACGGUGCACACUUGCUAUGAGCGGAUUCGACCCCGUUCGUGGCGUAGCUAACGCGUUAAGUGUGCCGCCUGGGGAGUACGGUCGCAAGAUUAAAACUCAAAGAAAUUGACGGGGGCCUGCACAAGCGGUGGAGUAUGUGGCUUAAUUCGAUGCAACGCGAAGAACCUUACCUGGCCUUGACAUGUUUGUGGUAAAACCCUGAAAGGGGAAUGACCUCGCAAGAGGAGCUUACACAGGUGCUGCAUGGCUGUCGUCAGCUCGUGUCGUG